CCGCCAGGCGUGCGGGCCAGGCAGCCGUGGAAGGUGCCCUUUUCUCCCAGAUUCCUCGCGCGCACGGCCACGAGCGCGGAGGCUGCCAAACCCGCCAGCCCUGGGUUCCGAAGCCGCCCCUGGCUCUUCACUCCCUCGCGGGCGCGCCCCGGGCCCCCGGUGGCGGCCAGCUCCCACCGGUCGCUCCUGCACUGCCCUGCCCUCCCCGGGCCGCCGCGCCCGGGCAGCACCGCCUCCUUCUCUAAAUACUGCCGGGUCCGCCCUCCGCACCAGGACGGGCGGUGGGUAGGGUGCAGGGCGGCCGGCGCAGCCGAGGCCGCGUGUGGAGGCGGACGCCGCGCCCAGCCAGUACCCACAGCAGCGCGGUCAGCCAGGCGCCGGACCCAGCUUCAGAGCUGCUGAAAUCUUGGAGGGAAGAAAACACAUCCCACCCUGCCUCCGGGAAGGGGCCUCUCCUGGACAUGUAUCCUGCAGCUGCUGCUGAGCCAGAUGGGGACCAGCAGGACAGACACGUCAGCAAACUCAUCUUCUGCUUCUUUGUUUUCGGCGCUGUCUUGUUGUGUGUGGGAGUCCUGCUCUCCAUCUUUGGGUUCCAGGCAUGCCAAUAUAAGCCCCUCCCAGACUGCCCCAUGGUGCUCAAGGUGGCGGGGCCUGCAUGUGCCGUGGUUGGGCUUGGGGCUGUGAUCCUGGCCCGCUCCCGGGCGCAACUUCAGCUCCGUGCAGGGCUGCAGAGAGGUCAGCAGAUGGACCCCGACCAAGCCUUCAUCUGUGGAGAGAGCCGCCAGUUUGCCCAGUGCCUUAUCUUUGGGUUUCUGUUCUUGACAAGCGGCAUGCUCAUCAGCGUCCUGGGCAUUUGGGUCCCUGGAUGUGGCUCCAGCUGGGCACAGGAACCGCUAAACGAGACAGACAGUGGCGACUCAGAGCCCCGGAUGUGUGGGUUCCUUUCUCUGCAGAUCAUGGGGCCCUUGAUUGUGCUUGUGGGAUUGUGUUUCUUCGUGGUUGCCCACGUUAAGAAGAGAAACACGCUGAAUGCUGGCCAGGAUGCCUCUGAGAGAGAAGAGGGACAGAUCCAGAUUAUGGAGCCUGUCCAGGUCACUGUAGGUGACUCGGUAAUAAUAUUUCCACCCCCUCCACCACCUUACUUUCCUGAAUCUUCAGCUUCUGCGGUCGCUGAGAGUCCUGGCACUAACAGUCUGCUUCCGAAUGAAAAUCCCCCUUCAUAUUACAGUAUUUUCAACUAUGGUUCUAGGAAGUCAGCGUGAAACGGCCAUAGGUUCCCUGCCUCCAGACCCUAUUCUGCCACAAGCCGAGAUCGCGCCACUGCACUCCAGCCUGGGCAACAGAGAGAGACUCUAUCUCAAGGGGAAAAAAAAAGAAUGUUUAAUGACCCACCAAUCAGACUGAGCACCAGGAAUGGGCCAGGAGGCCCCUGCUAUGCUAGGCUUCACUGCUUUAGAUCAUGGAGAGGUAUGAGGGUCUCGGGAUCCCCAACAGUUACAGAAGGGCUUUAGUACUCUGAUGGCCGUGCUUGGGUGACUGGCUAAAAUCAGCCUGAGCCCUGAUCCAACACAACUGGGCCUCUCCUUCAAUAUUCGCUCCUUCCCUGGGCCACAGAGAACAUCAGGUCAAUACCCACCCCACACAGAAUGCAGCGAGGCAGGCUCUACUGGGACAGGCCUGAGGUGCCAGGAGCCUGGGAGAGGGGGUCCGGAUGGAGAAGGACACUGAGGAAGAGGCGAAGAUGAUGAGUUCCAGGGACCCCAGCUUCAGAGGGUGCAGCCUUUGAAAGAGACUGUGAAUCUAUAUAUACCAUUUCUGGGACGAAUUCAUCUUCUGAGGCCUCACACACUGCACAUCUUCCAUCUGAAUUGCCUCCU
Molecule: RNA transcript, 1877 nt
Organism: Pongo pygmaeus (Bornean orangutan)
Lineage: Eukaryota; Metazoa; Chordata; Mammalia; Primates; Hominidae
Gene: TMEM171
Gene name: transmembrane protein 171
Exons: 5
Source: RefSeq, a predicted model, not a curated record